Molecule: unclassified non-coding RNA, 461 nt
Filed under: Hevea brasiliensis (rubber tree)
Lineage: Eukaryota; Viridiplantae; Streptophyta; Magnoliopsida; Malpighiales; Euphorbiaceae
Source: RNAcentral
GGGAUAUACACGCUCCCAAGCUAUUUAUCUGUUGGAGCAAGAGAGUUGAUUCCAAGGAUGCUCAUUGUUGAUCCUUUGAAGCGAAUAACUAUUCCUGAGAUUCGCCAACAUUCAUGGUUCCUAGCUCAUCUACCUCGUUAUUUGGCUGUGCCUCCACCAGAUACGAUGCAGCAAGUGAAAAAGAUUGAUGAGGAGAUUCUUCAGAAGGUAAUUAAAAUGGGAUUUGACAUGAACCAACUGGUUGAAUAUCUCCGCAAUAGAAUACAAAAUGAGGCGACAGUAGCAUAUUAUUUGCUACUAGACAAUAGACUCCGUGCUUCAAAUGGCUAUCUUGGUUUUGAGCUUGAAGAAACUAUGGAAAGUAGUUUCUCUAUUACACAUGCAUACAAUGCUAUAACUCCGCCGACUGGACGGCCUGGACAUAUGGAUAGUCAUGGAAACAAUUUGAGGCCACAAGUCCC